Molecule: transfer RNA, 97 nt
Filed under: Actinomycetota bacterium
Lineage: Bacteria; Bacillati; Actinomycetota
Description: tRNA-Val
Source: RNAcentral
CGGGCGAGCCUUGGCUUGUUGCUGAAACCUCCAGCAGACCAUCGCACUGCUUUCACGUGGCAGAGGUCGCUGGUUCGAUCCCAGCAUCGCCCAUCCA